Molecule: ribosomal RNA, 1462 nt
Filed under: uncultured eukaryote
Lineage: Eukaryota
Description: bacterial SSU rRNA
Rfam family: Archaeal small subunit ribosomal RNA
Source: RNAcentral
AACCUGGUUGAUCCUGCCAGUGGCCACCGCUAUUGGAGUUCGAUUAAGCCAUGCGAGUCGAGAGGGUUCGGCCCUCGGCAGACUGCUCAGUAACACGUGGAUAAUCUGCCCUUGGGUGGGGGAUAAGCUCGGGAAACUGAGUAUAAUACCCCAUAGGUGUUGAUUGCUGGAAUGCAUUAAUGCUCAAAGCUCCGGCGCCCAAGGAUGAGUCUGCGGCCUAUCAGGUCGUAGUGAGUGUAAUGGACUCACUAGCCGACGACGGGUACGGGUCGUGAGAGCGAUCGCCCGGAGAUGGAAUCUGAGACACGAUUCCAGGCCCUACGGGGCGCAGCAGGCGCGAAAACUUCACAAUGCGGGAAACCGCGAUGAGGGAACUCCAAGUGCCUAUACAUUGUAUAGGCUGUUCAGGUGUCUAAAAAACAUCUGGAGUAAGGGCUGGGUAAGUCUGGUGCCAGCCGCCGCGGUAAUACCAGCAGCUCGAGUGGUGGUCGUUUUUAUUGGGCCUAAAGCGUCCGUAGCCGGUUCGGUAAAUCUUUGGGUAAAUCGUCGGGCUUAACUCGACGAAUUCCGAAGAGACUGUCGAACUUGGGACUGGGAGAGGUCGGAGGUACUCUUGGGGUAGGGGUGAAAUCCUGUAAUCCUGAGAGGACCACCAGUGGCGAAGGCGUCCGACUAGAACGGGUCCGACGGUGAGGGACGAAGCCGUGGGGCGCGAACCGGAUUAGAUACCCGGGUAGUCCACGGUGUAAACGCUGCAGGCUUGGUGUUGGGGGUCCUACGAGGGCGUCCAGUGCCGGAGAGAAGUUGUUAAGCCUGCCGCCUGGGGAGUACGAUCGCAAGAUUGAAACUUAAAGGAAUUGGCGGGGGAGCACAGCGACGCGUGGAGCGUGCGGUUUAAUUGGAUUCAACGCCGGAAAACUCACCGGGGGCGACUGUCAUAUGUGGGCCAGAUUAAUGAUCUUGCCUGAAUUUCAGAGAGGUAGUGCAUGGCCGCCGUCAGUUCGUACCGUAAGGCGUUCUGUUAAGUCAGACAACGAACGAGACCCCUGCCUCUAAUUGCUAUUAUUCUCUCCGGAGGAUAAGGACAUUAGGGGGACCGCUGGCGCUAAGUCAGAGGAAGGGGGGGGCAACGGUAGGUCAGUAUGCCCCGAAUCUCCCGGGCCACACGCGCGCUACAAAGGGCGGGACAAUGGGUUCCGACCCCGAGAGGGGAAGGUAAUCUCGAAACCCGUCCGUAGUUCGGAUUGAGGGCUGUAACUCGCCCUCAUGAAGCUGGAAUGCGUAGUAAUCGCGGGUCAACAUCCCGCGGUGAAUAUGCCCCUGCUCCUUGCACACACCGCCCGUCAAACCAUCUGAGUUGGGUUUGGAUGAGGGCUCCUCUCCCUGGGGAGUUCGAAUCCAGAUUCAGCAAGGAGGGUUAAGUCGUAACAAGGUAUCCGUAGGUGAACCUGCAGAAGGAUCA